ACUUUUAAAGGAUGACAGUCAUCCAUUGACCUUAGGAGUCAAAAAUAUUGGUGCAACUCCAAAUAAAAGUA
Molecule: transfer RNA, 71 nt
Filed under: Colobus angolensis (Angolan colobus)
Lineage: Eukaryota; Metazoa; Chordata; Mammalia; Primates; Cercopithecidae
Also listed under: 1 other name
Description: tRNA-Leu
Rfam family: tRNA
About the family: Transfer RNA (tRNA) molecules are approximately 80 nucleotides in length.
Source: RNAcentral